GCGUUGUACUGGUGCUGUACUCGCUCCAUCAAAAAAAAAAAAGACAAACCCUAUGUUUUUGUGGCCAACGUUUGACUAUCCGUCUUAUAUGAAAUUUUUUUAUAAUUAGUAUUUUCAUUGCUGUUAGAUGAUAAAACAUAAUUAAUACUUUAUGCGUGACUUAUCUUUUUAAAUUUUUUCACAAAUUUUUCAAAUAAGACAGGACGGUUAAACGAUGGACACGGAAACUAGGUUUUUUUUUUUUUUUGAGACGGAGGGAGUAUGUGCGGUGGUGGUUGGU
This 280-nucleotide unclassified non-coding RNA is filed under the name Oryza sativa (Asian cultivated rice). RNAcentral's name for it is "partial microRNA MIR438p-1 precursor". The stretch from base 38 to 229 matches the Rfam family "MIR812 microRNA precursor family". Lineage: Eukaryota; Viridiplantae; Streptophyta; Magnoliopsida; Poales; Poaceae. The record is from RNAcentral.